GUUUUUGUAGUUGAAUAACAACGGUGAGUUUUCAUUCCACAGGUUUUGGUUUAUGUCCAAGCAAGAAUU
Echinops telfairi (small Madagascar hedgehog) is the source of this 69-nucleotide non-coding RNA. Lineage: Eukaryota; Metazoa; Chordata; Mammalia; Afrosoricida; Tenrecidae. The record is from Ensembl.